Molecule: long non-coding RNA, 6476 nt
Organism: Patella vulgata (common limpet)
Lineage: Eukaryota; Metazoa; Mollusca; Gastropoda; Patellidae
Exons: 3
Source: RefSeq, a predicted model, not a curated record
UUUACACAUUUAUUCUAUCGUGACAGCACAGCUAAAAAUUAAUCAAUGUCGAUAUCACGCGGCUCUCCUUUUAUAAAAGGGCAAUAAUAUUAAUAAAGUUAACAAUAAGGAUUUGACAGCCACACGAUCAGUACAACAAGAAACGCUUCAGGUAUAUUUCAUCAUGAACGGUAAAAUUGUAUUCACCUUCACCGUUGUUGUGGUUUUAUCAGUGAUGUCGAUAGCAUCCCCUGUAUUGCCUGUCUAUGAUUUAGAUCUCAUGCCACCAGAGAUGGCUUGUCUGUAUAUCUGCAAUAUUUGCUAUGAUGGACGGGCGGAAGAGAUGAAAGCAUGUGCCAACGAUAUCUGCUCCAAACCCGGCUGCAACAUUUUAGACUACAUGAAGAUUGGCAGAGAUUGUCAAAACUACAAAACUGUAUUCGAAUACAGCACCGGAACUUUCAAAAAGCAUUGAAUAAAUAUAAAUUCAUUUAUUGUUAAUAUGCAUGCUAUCAUAUUUAUUUAUACAUUAUGUUAGUAAUAUUUAAAGAUGUAAUAUGUAAGAGCGAAAUCUGCCCAUUGCAGGUCUUUUUUUUUGGGGGGGGGGGCUUAUAAUGGUAUAUAAAUUCUCACUUAGACAUUUAUUCACACGGCAAGCAUAUAAUCAACUCUCGGGUGGCAGGGAUAUUGGGUGGAUUAAAUAUAUGCGUUAAACGUUAAAAUGGAAAAUCGAGGCUUCGUUUAUUAUCGUGGCAAUAAUACUUGACAAUCGGGACUAUUUACUUUAUUUCUUGCCAGAACUUCAACCAUUCAUAAUGUCCAUGAGCUUAAGGCAAUUUGACUGAAUUUUUCAAUAUCUUCAUUUUACGUUAUCUAUUUUUUUAAACUAUUGAUGCUAGGUUCCCACUGUGGUCCCUAUUGAGUCCACGAUUGCUACGACUGAUCUUAAUAUAUGAUAAGACCUGGUAGGAUCAGCACUAUUACCCCACGAUUUUAAUCGUAGCGCGAAUCGUGAUAGUGGGAAGUUAGCAUUAAGCAUGAACGACCACGGUUUUUUUUUUUAUCUAAAUCUUACAUAAUGCAUCUUUAAGUUUUAUGUUGUUUCGUCGUUUCUAAAAUUAUCUUAAGAUUAUUUAUUCUGUCUAUAUGGCUAUAACUUUAAAAUUACUUAAGAGAUUUAUGUAUAUUGAUUAUUUCAAGGAAUAUUAAAGGGGCGAUCCGAUAUAGCCUGGAGCCAUUUGGCUGCAGAUUGUUGUAUUCGGUUCAGUUUCUGCCUUUCUACCGCAGAAAAUUCAUUAAAUUUUUGAUGUAAACAAAUGGAAGAUAUAAAAGGGCGGUCUUUUAAAUUAAUAUCGUAUAAACUAACUUAUUUUAACGUAACGACACAAUUAUAUUUUUUUUGAUUUUUUUAUGAAUUUACGACCUGAGUAGACGGGUCCCCUAUCGCCCUGUGAUCCUUUAAAACUGCUAGAGUCGUAAAAGAAAAUCAACGAAAUAUAAAUACAGUAUUAGCAAUCAUACAGGGCAAUCAAUCAAAAUAUAUAGAUUCGAAAUAGUGAAAAAUGAAUGCCAAGUAAAGUACGGUGCCCAUUGUGUAAACGUCAACUAUUGUAAAUAAUACAAAUGAUAAUAAUGGAAACUUUAUUGGUUGGCAAGUUUCAGCUAAAUGGGGGUUUACGAUGUCUCACCUUUCAGUGAAGAAGGAAUGCGUGCCUAAACGACGAAGAGCAUGCGGAAAAUCUCCCCCAUAUAUAGCACAUUGCAUACUGUAUGCCGGUCUCGUUGCUAUGUCUGAAUUCGAGGCGACAUGACACCCGAAAACUAAAAUUGGCCCAUGUUGCUCCGGGAUAUAUUCAGUUUUGCCAAGUGUGGGGGCUAUUGACAAUUUCCAAUAAGUCAUAAUUAACCAUGCGGUCGCGCUCAAACGGGUUUAUUCCAUCUCUUAUAACCCACUAGCUUUGUUACCAGAUUGGCUUUUGUCAUUACUGGUAGCCUAUUAAUGGUUCAGUCCUGGAACACGUUAAGUAUUUAUUUUCAUUCAAGUAAUGCAAUAGAACCCCCCACCCCACCCACGCGACAUACUUCAAAUAAGCUAACAAAGACCAGGACGAGAGUGAAAGAUAAUAAUGUAUGUACAUCUACUAGAGUAUAAAUACAUCAUCAGACUGCACUAGUACGAGAACGACAGUAAACUCUCGUCCUGCUACAUAAUAGUAUGCUACUGAGCUUGGUUUAUUAUUCAGCGUCGAACCAAGUAGGGGUAGAUUGAAAUGGGCUUCGUCAUAAUUUUGUUUCCGGAGCAUAUACCACAAACUUUUCAAGAUAUUUUUAUAUUAACUGUGCCUUUUGUUUUUUUAGAAAUAUCUCAUGACAACCAAUUUGACUUGGGUUUUGGCAUAUCUCAUAAAAAAUUCAAGACAUCUUUAUGGAACUUUGUACACACAUAGACCUAUUAUAUAAUGGUCGCCCCUUUUGCUUAUCAGAAAUUUCUCGGAUUUAAUCAUUUUUGUGUCAUUGAAAUACAUUUGUCAGAGUUUUUGGUAUGCAAUUAUUAUUUCGGAACACUUCAAAAUGUCUUUAUAAAACUAGAUUUGUCUAAUGCAAGUGAGCUUUAGAUCACAGAGUCUGUCAUUAAUUCAUGCGUUGCAUGUCCAACAUCUUACGUUUUCUACAAAGAUUCCGGUUUCCCCCCCCCCCCCACCGCUAAAGACCCCUACACGCAAGCUUAUUAUUGAAAUACAAUUGUACCAUAUUUUUGUCCCGAAAUGAUCAAGUAAGAAUCAAGUUGACGUUAAACCCCAUCUCUUAAAACUUAAUGUAAUUUUUAUUUCUUUUAAACAUCUUGUAAUUAGAAAAUAAGUUUUCAGAAUUUUAAUGAUAUCCUUGAAGAGUCUUCUUGUUAUUGUUGAGAUUAGGUGUGGACUGGGCCCCCGGACAGUUGGAAAAAAAAAACUGACAUUUUUUUUCAGUGUGAAAAUAAUUGCUCUUCGCGGCCCCUGAAAUAUAUAAUGCCCCCCUAUCCCCACCAAGUCUGAGGAGUAAAAUUAAUAUUGGAGUGGGAUGCAUGAAAGAUGCAUCAAGCCAGUAUCCUUUUCUCAUUCUUCGCUGUGAUAGGGUCCAACGAAACCAGUUGAUCUACGAGCCCAGAGCUACCCAGUCCACCCCUGGUUAAGAUGGAGAUAGAAUAUAAAAUACCAUCUAGGAGACCACCUACUUGUAUGCAAAAAAAUCUAAAAAUAAUGAUUCCUUGGUUUGUUGUUUUGUGCAAACCAUUUUUCGAAAGGUAAAGAUUCAGAUUCUACAAAGGCUCUGGAACGGAUAACUUGCCAUAUCCCUUUGACCCUCUCACCAACACUAAAGCCAACUGAGAGAUCAAGGAAAAAUUCAGAUAUUUGUGAUUAGACUGACAAGAUAACAUAUGGAAACACGCCUAAUUAGAACACUAUAUUCAAAUUUACAACAUUCCAUGUGAUAAUUACCUUAUAAUUCCUGCUGGAAAAUUAAUCACAGAUUAUCACACCUGGAUUGUGACACACCACACUACAUUUUUUCUAUUAGCAAAAUUAUAACAUUUACAGAAAUAAAUACAUAAUAGUAGAAAUAAUUAUUUAUUGAUGGAAGUUGCAAGAGCGAAUCAGAUGAUAGUUAUAUAACUGAUAAUGUAAACAGUAUAUUGAAAAGAAUGUAAUGAAGUACAGGUAAUUAUAAUAUAAUGUUCUCUUGUAGAAAACUGAAAAAAGCUAACUAGAUUCUAAAUUCACAUAUCUAAUUUCUAUUAAAAUAUUAUAUUCUCUAUAUUACCAGGAAAUUAAAUGAACUAGAAGCUAAUAAGAAAUUACUAUAUAGUAUAGGUUUAGAUCAUAAUAAUCCAACACUCUUUUGAAAGUAAAUUCUUGUUAUAAAAUUCUCUAUUUUUAAAUUGAAUUAACUGUAUAAAAUCUAUCUAGCUUUGAUAAACAUUUUUAUAUAGAUACGUUCAUAGCACACAGUACAAUGGCCAAUGCAAUAUUUACUCCUGAGCAACUCUUUUAGUUGGAUAUCCAGCGAUUUAUAAAUAGAUUAUUGUUAUUAUGUUUAGUUGGAUUCAGAAACUGAUAUAAAGUAUGACAUUGAACCAGUACAAAUCAUUUUGGAAAUAAAAUAUUAAGAACAGGGGCAAAAUACAAUAGAAAGUAAAUACAUGUAUAUACAAUUGAAAUACAAUAAAAUACUAGUAUACAUAUGAACCAUGCCUUUGUACUCCUAAAGAAAAAAACUAUAUACAUGUACAUGUAUAUCCCCAGAAUUGGACUUAAUUAGCUUUCUCAAGACAGCCUAUUUCCCAAUUAGAUAUUUUCAGACAAUUUAGUUUAUUUGAAUUAAAAUUAAUUAGUAAUUUCAUAAAAAUUCAGUUGUUUUGUGCAUAAGCCCAUUUUAUCUACAUAAAUAAUAGCUUUAUAUAUAUUUAUGUCUACCUUACAUACAAAGAAUAGCCAAACAAAGACUUCCUAAUUAAAUGUUUGUUGGUUCGCGGGGCUUAACUUUCACUUCCAACAAGAGUGAUAUGGCAGACAACUAAAUAACUUGUUAUGUUUUUGCUUUGAAAGGAGUAGCCUACUCCAGCUAAUGUCAUCUAUUUAAAUUUUACUGAUUAUCUAAUAUGAAAUGGUAAUUAAAAUCAAAAUAGAGUUGUGUAGUAUUUUAAUACUAUAUAUGGAAUAAUAUACAAAUAAAGGACAAUGAGUGAAGUUCUUCUUUAAAUGACAUCACACACAAUAAGCUGUUCCAUUCAAACCAUAAUUAUCAUAAUAUAUUGGAAUGUUUUCUAUUAUUUUUAUUUAUUUUUUUAAUAAAAAAAGGUAUUUGGUUAGUUUAAGAAUCAUUGCAUAGAGAAGAAACACUUCUGAAAAAUUAAAACUGGGCAAGACAUAGGCCUAUCGACAUAUUUCUAUCAAAUCUUCACUACAAUUGAAUAUAUAUAGUUUUGGCAAAAUUCAAUAAUUUAGAGAUCUGAUUAUGUAGAUUUGUUGUUUGUGAAUUCAGUAACUUUGGGUGUGAUAAAUAUGCAUUCCAAACGAAAUGAACUUAAAAAGUAUGUGAAACUGUACUAGGUAUGCUUAAUAAAAAAGGCAUUGCCAAAAAAAACUAACCUUGUGGUAUGAUGUGAUUAGGAUAAAUCUAUUAUUAUUUCAUUUGUGAGUUUAUUUUAUUUGAAAUCUUAAUCACCUGUUGCCAUUAGUACAUUGAUUGCUAUCUUAUAUUGAAUCAGUGUAUGUAAAUGUGGCCAUUAGUUCAUUCUAUCAUAUAUCAUUUAAAUAAAGCUUAUCAAAUUAUGGGAGAAAGUGUAAUAUAUAAAGAUUAUUUAUGCGGCAAUACUAUAUACCAGAAAACACCGGAAAACAACUGGAAAACACCAUUUUAUACUGAAUACCGGAAAAAAACGGAAAAACACAAAAUACUGGAAAACACACUAAAUACCGGAAAAUACCCUAAAUAGGUAACCCGGAGACUGGCACCCUAAAUAGGUAACCGGGAGCCUGGUCCUCUGUGUGCCUGGGUUAGGGUUAGGGUUAGUUUCCGGUUUAUAGUAUAGCCCUUCUCCGGGUUACCUAUUGAGGGUGGUUUCCGGUAAUUAGUGUGUUUUCCGGUAUUUAGUGUUUUUCCGUAUUCAGUAUAACAUGGUGUUUUCCGGUAGUUUUCCGGUUGUUUUCUGGUAUAUAGUAUAGCCCUUAUUUAUGGCCUCACACGAAUGCAAAUCAAAAUUUAUAUUAAUUAACCUUAAUUUUUAGCAAUGCUUCAUUAAAAUAAGAACGCAAGGUUGGGCUGAUAUUGCUGUUUGGUUUAAGUGCUAUAAUUCAUAUACUAUUUAUAUUAGUGAUAAAUUGAUAUUAAAAAUGUGUGCAAUGCCUUGGAGUUAAGCUCGUUGUUGAGUGGGUCAGGUAGAAAAAAUAUUUGCCCCACUCCCCUUCACUCUUCUCCUACCCCAAAUACACCACUAUAACUUAAAAUGUUGGUUCUAGAAUCAAAUACAUCAUCCUGAAUCUCCCCAGCAACAAACUAUUAUAUUAUAUGUAUACAAUAUAUGGAUAACUACAUGUAUGUUGAUUUAUUUUCCUUAAUACUCUGAUAGAACAAUGAAAACAAAGGAACAAAAGAGCUAAUGAGUCAUUCAUAUCUUACUAUCAAGUUUAUCACACACAGUUAUUAACAAGAUCACCUUAUAGAUUGACUAAAGCUAAAUAACAUUAAAUAUAGAUAUAUCAAACAAACAAUAAAUAAACAGAAUUCAAUCUCAUUAUAUCUACAUACAAAAUAUAAUCAACUAAUUGGUAUUAAGAGAAAGCACCAACAUUAUAUUAAAUAUAAAUCAUGACCGUUAAAAUAAUAUUGUCUGAUUUUCACACAAUAACUCACAUUCCACAAAGCAGCCAAUUUUAAAGUAGAACCAAAACCAAAUCUCAAAUUGAAAAUAAAGCAACAUUUCAACAACCCAUGAAAAAAAAACCCUAACAAAAUAA